UUAGGCGAGAUCGUGAGGAAGGGAAAUGAGGAGAGGAAUGGGGGGAGGGGAGGGUAAGAGAGAGGAGAAAAAGUGCCAAAUACGCGAAACACACGCGCAACGUAUUUUUGUAAAUCUGGUUUCAUACGUAAGGCUAGAGUCGUGCGGCGAGACGUCGAACUGCCCGAACUGCCGAUUUUAUAUAAGAACACGUUUAAGAGACACGCACACAAAACACGCAACGCAUACGAUGACACACAUACACACACACACACACACACACACACACAUUUAACACACUCUAUAAUAUCGUACUCGUACACGCGGGUUGCACGCGUGCGUACGUUCGAGGAGAGCUUCGUUUCUGACUGACAACGCUUUCGUUCAUCGUCUACCGUCACUUGUAAAUAUAGGUUUUUGUAUAAAACAGAAACGAAAGUGUGAUCCCCCACGAAUGAAUUCGAACCACCUCCUCUCUAACCACCCAUUUUCUCAAACUCUCGAACUACUUUCCUUAGAUCGAUCUUAAGUGAUCCCGAUUUAAAACGCGAACUAUGCACGCGUGCAAACACAGUGUGCAAGCGCAUACAUACAAAUACAUACACACAUACACAAACACGCAUACACAUAUAUCGCGACCGAAGGAAGAAAUACCCUCCCUCGUCGAACGCAUUUUUGCCUCGCUAGCAAGCUGAGGAAACACGAAAGGAAGCGAAAGAAGCGGU
Long non-coding RNA from Apis florea (little honeybee), 704 nucleotides. NCBI's taxonomy places the organism in Eukaryota, Metazoa, Arthropoda, Insecta, Hymenoptera, Apidae. The record is from RefSeq and is a predicted model, not a curated record.